GCAAGAUUGAAACUCAAAGGAAUUGACGGGGGCCCGCACAAGCGGAGGAGCAUGUGGUUUAAUUCGAUGAUACGCGAGGAACCUUACCUGGGCUUAAAUGUUGGACGACAGUCCCCGAAAGGGGACCUUUCUUCGGAACGUCUAGCAAGGUGCUGCAUGGUUGUCGUCAGCUCGUGCCGUGAGGUGUCGGGUUAAGUCCCAUAACGAGCGCAACCCCUAUUCUUAGUUGCCAUCAGAUAAUGCUGGGGACUCUAAGAAAACUGCCUACGCAAGUAGUGAGGAAGGUGGGGAUGACGUCAAAUCAGCACGGCCCUUAUGUCCAGGGCUACACACGUGCUACAAUGGCCGGUACAGAGGGCAGCUACCUGGUGACAGGAUGCUAAUCUCGAAAACCGGUCUCAGUUCGGAUCGGAGUCUGCAACUCGACUUCGUGAAGUCGGAUUCGCUAGUAAUCGCACAUCAGCCAUGGCGCGGUGAAUACGUUCCCGGGCCUUGUACACACCGCCCGUCAAGCCAUGGAAGCUGGGGGUACCUAAAGUCCGUAACCGCAAGGAGCGGCCUAGGGUAAAACUGGUGACUGGGGCUAAGUCGUAACAAGGUA
RNAcentral lists this ribosomal RNA (601 nucleotides) under uncultured bacterium. RNAcentral's name for it is "bacterial SSU rRNA". It matches the Rfam family "Bacterial small subunit ribosomal RNA", at positions 888 to 1498 of the family's 1533-position model. The record is from RNAcentral.